RNAcentral lists this unclassified non-coding RNA (254 nucleotides) under air metagenome. RNAcentral describes it as "partial contains small subunit ribosomal RNA, internal transcribed spacer 1, and 5.8S ribosomal RNA". The stretch from base 1 to 46 matches the Rfam family "Eukaryotic small subunit ribosomal RNA", at positions 1786 to 1831 of the family's 1831-position model. The record is from RNAcentral.
AAGUCGUAACAAGGUCUCCGUUGGUGAACCAGCGGAGGGAUCAUUAGAGAGUAUAACAACUCCCAACCCAUGUGAACUUACCUAUCGUUGCCUCGGCGGGGAGAGGUUGCCCGCUAAUGCCUACCCGGGGCUUGCUACCCGGUACGGCAGGGUGCCUCCCGCCGCCGCAGGCCCGAAAAACUCUGUUUUAUUUUGCAACUCUGAAUCUUAAAACAAAUAAGUUAAAACUUUCAACAACGGAUCUCUUGGUUCUG